Molecule: ribosomal RNA, 426 nt
Filed under: uncultured prokaryote
Description: bacterial SSU rRNA
Rfam family: Bacterial small subunit ribosomal RNA
Source: RNAcentral
UCGAGAAUAGUCUACAAUGGGCGCAAGCCUGAUGGAGCGACGCCGCGUGGGGGAUGAAUGGCUUCGGCCCGUAAACCCCUGUCAUUUGCGAUCAACCGUUAUUAUUUAAAAGAUGAUGACCUGAUAGUAGCGAAAGAGGAAGGGACGGCUAACUCUGUGCCAGCAGCCGCGGUAAUACAGAGGUCCCAAGCGUUGUUCGGAUUCACUGGGCGUAAAGGGUGCGUAGGUGGCGAGGUAAGUCGGAUGUGAAAUCUCUAAGCUCAACUUGGAAAAUGCAUUGGAAACUACCUUGCUCGAGGUUUGGAGGGGGGACUGGAAUACUUGGUGUAGCAGUGAAAUGCGUAGAUAUCAAGUGGAACACCAGUGGCGAAAGCGAGUCCCUGGACAAAUCCUGACACUGAGGCACGAAAGCUAGGGGAGCAAACA